This 253-nucleotide ribosomal RNA is filed under the name uncultured bacterium. RNAcentral describes it as "partial 16S ribosomal RNA". It matches the Rfam family "Bacterial small subunit ribosomal RNA", at positions 524 to 776 of the family's 1533-position model. The record is from RNAcentral.
UACGAAGGGGGCUAGCGUUGCUCGGAUUGACUGGGCGUAAAGGGCGCGUAGGCGGUUCGUACAGUCAGGCGUGAAAUUCCUGGGCUCAACCUGGGGGCUGCGUUUGAUACGUGCGGACUUGAGUGCGGAAGAGGGUCGUGGAAUUCCCAGUGUAGAGGUGAAAUUCGUAGAUAUUGGGAAGAACACCGGUGGCGAAGGCGGCGACCUGGUCCGAUACUGACGCUGAGGCGCGAAAGCGCGGGGAGCAAACAGG